UACGUAGGGUGCGAGCGUUGUCCGGAAUUAUUGGGCGUAAAGAGCUCGUAGGCGGUGUGUCACGUCGGCCGUGAAAACCUGCAGCUUAACUGUGGGCGUGCGGUCGAUACGGGCAUCACUGGAGUUCGGCAGGGGAGACUGGAAUUCCUGGUGUAGCGGUGAAAUGCGCAGAUAUCAGGAAGAACACCAACGGCGAAGGCAGCUCGCUAGGACGGAACUGACGCUGAGGCGCGAAAGCGUGGGGAUCAAACAGG
RNAcentral lists this ribosomal RNA (254 nucleotides) under uncultured bacterium. RNAcentral describes it as "partial 16S ribosomal RNA". It matches the Rfam family "Bacterial small subunit ribosomal RNA", at positions 524 to 776 of the family's 1533-position model. The record is from RNAcentral.